AUCUCCCAACUCAUCCCACCCCACUUCCCCCCACCCUGUGUCCACACUUCCAUUUUCUACGUCUGCAUCUCUAUUCCUGCCCCACAAAUAGGCUCCUCUGUACCCUUUUUCUAGAUUCCACAUAUAUGCCUUAAUAUACGAUAUUUGUUUUUCUCUUUCUGACUUACUUCACUCUGUAUGACAGACUCUGGGUCCAUCCACGUCGCUACAAAAUGACCCAAUCUCGUUCCUUUUUAUGGCUGAGUAAUAUUCCAUUGUAUAUAUGUACCACAUCUUCUUUAUCUAUUUGUCUGUUGAUGG
Long non-coding RNA from Aethalodelphis obliquidens (Pacific white-sided dolphin), 300 nucleotides. RefSeq lists it as uncharacterized. Lineage: Eukaryota; Metazoa; Chordata; Mammalia; Artiodactyla; Delphinidae. The record is from RefSeq and is a predicted model, not a curated record. The transcript has 3 exons.